CCUACGGGUGGCUGCAGUGGGGAAUAUUGGACAAUGGGCGAAAGCCUGAUCCAGCCAUGUCGCGUGUGUGAAGAAGGCCUUCGGGUUGUAAAGCACUUUCAGUGGGGAAGAAAGCCUUGGGGCUAAUACCCUCGAGGAAGGACAUCACCCACAGAAGAAGCACCGGCUAACUCCGUGCCAGCAGCCGCGGUAAUACGGAGGGUGCGAGCGUUAAUCGGAAUUACUGGGCGUAAAGCGCGCGUAGGCGGUCUGAUAAGCCGGUUGUGAAAGCCCCGGGCUCAACCUGGGAACGGCAUCCGGAACUGUCAGGCUAGAGUGCAGGAGAGGAAGGUAGAAUUCCCGGUGUAGCGGUGAAAUGCGUAGAGAUCGGGAGGAAUACCAGUGGCGAAGGCGGCCUUCUGGACUGACACUGACGCUGAGGUGCGAAAGCGUGGGUAGCAAACAGGAUUAGAUACCCCUUAGUC
Molecule: ribosomal RNA, 464 nt
Filed under: Vreelandella stevensii
Lineage: Bacteria; Pseudomonadati; Pseudomonadota; Gammaproteobacteria; Oceanospirillales; Halomonadaceae
Description: partial 16S ribosomal RNA
Rfam family: Bacterial small subunit ribosomal RNA
Source: RNAcentral